Molecule: ribosomal RNA, 479 nt
Filed under: Citrobacter freundii
Lineage: Bacteria; Pseudomonadati; Pseudomonadota; Gammaproteobacteria; Enterobacterales; Enterobacteriaceae
Description: bacterial SSU rRNA
Rfam family: Bacterial small subunit ribosomal RNA
Source: RNAcentral
GGGGGGGUGUGAGAAGUUUGAUCCUGGCUCAGAUUGAACGCUGGCGGCAGGCCUAACACAUGCAAGUCGAACGGUAGCACAGAGGAGCUUGCUCCUUGGGUGACGAGUGGCGGACGGGUGAGUAAUGUCUGGGAAACUGCCCGAUGGAGGGGGAUAACUACUGGAAACGGUAGCUAAUACCGCAUAACGUCGCAAGACCAAAGAGGGGGACCUUCGGGCCUCUUGCCAUCGGAUGUGCCCAGAUGGGAUUAGCUAGUAGGUGGGGUAACGGCUCACCUAGGCGACGAUCCCUAGCUGGUCUGAGAGGAUGACCAGCCACACUGGAACUGAGACACGGUCCAGACUCCUACGGGAGGCAGCAGUGGGGAAUAUUGCACAAUGGGCGCAAGCCUGAUGCAGCCAUGCCGCGUGUAUGAAGAAGGCUUCGGGUUGUAAAGUACUUCAGCGAGGAGGAAGGUGUUGUGGUUAAUAACCGCAGC